UUACGACCACAUCCUGUUGAAACACGGGUUCCUAUACGAUCACUGAAGUUAGGCAAUGUUGAGCCUGGUCAGUACCUAAAUGGGUGACUGUUUGGGAAUACCAGAUAUUGUAU
This is a non-coding RNA of Acanthosepion pharaonis, 113 nucleotides long. The record is from the annotation of a GenBank genome assembly. NCBI's taxonomy places the organism in Eukaryota, Metazoa, Mollusca, Cephalopoda, Sepiida, Sepiidae.